UUGUUCACAUGAUGCCUCCUCUCUCUAUUGAUGAUAAUGUUGUUGACUUUUAAAAUAAUAGUGCCACCGAUAUUAAUUCCCUCAAUCUCUUCUCGGUUGUGUGUGUAUAUAUAUCUCGAUGAUGGAUGAUGUAAGAUGUUUUUUCUCAAAAGUCCAAUCCCUCUUUUACCGUGAUGAUGAUGGUAUUAUAUUUGUGAUUUUAAUGGCUCCCCAUGAUCUCCUUGGUCUGCGUGAAUUGAUGUCUGCCGCCAAAUCAAGUCUCACGUGGAUGGCAGUGAUGCAACCCUUGUAUUUCAACCGUAGCCUAUGGUUUAAGAACCGUAGGUUACGGUACGGACAUUCUGUUUCUUUCUGGAUUUCCCAACUUUAAUGAACCGUAGGCUAUGGUAUUUAACCGUAGCUUAUGUUGCAACAUAUAAGUUCCUCCAUAGCUGCAUUUUAACUUUCGUUUAAUGAUCAGUAACCCCCUGAACUUCAUUGGUUUCAUAAUUCUCACACUCACAACCUAUGUAUCGACUUUCGAAUAAUUACUUCCAGGCCCCUAAGCUUCAUUUCAGCACAUAUUCUGCAUAGUUGAGUUAUCUCCUCACCCGAACAACUCCCGUUUAACUUGAUACCUUUCUAAUAAUCCUCGUUGCUCGUCCCGUUUCAUCAUUAAGCUCUCUAACUUCGUCUUAUUACGCAUUUUACCUGUAAAACCACAAACACUCGUAGUUACUAUAUUCGAAACAUAUAAUCGCAUAAACCGCAUUAAAUCACACAAGAUAAUACUCUUAAGGCUCGUGUUUCACACUCUCCAUCACAUUGCACGUAUUGUUCAGGCUAUCAUGGAUGCGCCUGAAACCGCAACUAGUUUAGACUUGGUCAAGGAACGUGCCCGCGAUGCCGGUUUUAAAGCUGGUUACAGCCGCUGUAUCGGUCACAUAAACGUCAUGUCUAAGGGCGGUUAUACCGAAGAGCGGUCCGGGUUUCGUGACGUGGACACCGAAGUGCUCCUUAACGCGGUUGUUGCCUCCUUUUACGAUACGUCCCUCUCUUGCGUGGAGAAAUUGGACGAAUGUUUAGGGGCUGCGAAUUAUGUAGACCGGUUGCGGAUGCUGUAUGCUGAUGCAGAAGAGGAAGAUCCUGCUGGUGGCGGCCAAGAUGGCGCGGGUACCAGUGGUACAAAAUAGGGUUUAGGUUGGCUAGUGUGCCCCUUUUUUGUUUUCCUUUUGUAAAUGUUGGAAACUUCAUGUAAAUCUAUUAAGCACCGCGUGGGUGCUUGAAUUUUUUGAAUAUAAAGUUUGUUGUUCAAUUUGUA
Molecule: long non-coding RNA, 1300 nt
Organism: Helianthus annuus (common sunflower)
Lineage: Eukaryota; Viridiplantae; Streptophyta; Magnoliopsida; Asterales; Asteraceae
Exons: 2
Source: RefSeq, a predicted model, not a curated record